CCUACGGGAGGCAGCAGUGGGGAAUUUUGGACAAUGGGCGCAAGCCUGAUCCAGCAAUGCCGCGUGAGUGAAGAAGGCCUUCGGGUUGUAAAGCUCUUUUGUCAGGGAAGAAACGGUGGUUCCUAAUACGGACUACUAAUGACGGUACCUGAAGAAUAAGCACCGGCUAACUACGUGCCAGCAGCCGCGGUAAUACGUAGGGUGCAAGCGUUAAUCGGAAUUACUGGGCGUAAAGCGUGCGCAGGCGGUUAUAUAAGUCAGAUGUGAAAUCCCCGGGCUCAACCUGGGAACUGCAUUUGAGACUGUAUGGCUAGAGUGUGUCAGAGGGGGGUAGAAUUCCACGUGUAGCAGUGAAAUGCGUAGAUAUGUGGAGGAAUACCGAUGGCGAAGGCAGCCCCCUGGGAUAACACUGACGCUCAUGCACGAAAGCGUGGGGAGCAAACAGGAUUAGAUACCCUGGUAGUCCACGCCCUAAACGAUGUCUACUAGUUGUCGGGACUUAAUUGUCUUGGUAACGCAGCUAACGCGUGAAGUAGACCGCCUGGGGAGUACGGUCGCAAGAUUAAAACUCAAAGGAAUUGACGG
Molecule: ribosomal RNA, 585 nt
Filed under: uncultured bacterium
Lineage: Bacteria
Description: bacterial SSU rRNA
Rfam family: Bacterial small subunit ribosomal RNA
Source: RNAcentral